AAAAAUGAAUCAUCAGGAGUAGGCAGCGCACUAAGUAAGUGAGUAAACUGAGAUAUGUCUAAGGAGUUAAUCAAGGCAAUUUUUCCAUAAAUAGACAGAAGCUCUCUGUCAGGGUAUACGAAGGGCUGUAGGAAGUUAGGCGCAGGAGAGCAGAUAGUUGGUAGCAACACAGAGCCUUUUAUUUGGCGACCCAAAAGCACACAGCACAAACACGAAAUACAAAUAAGGUUUUAACAUAACCCAGCUUAACCAGCCUAACGUGCGCAUACAUGAACAGACAAACAAUACCACACAAAGACAUGGGGAAAACAGAGGGUUAAAUACACAACACAUAAUGAGGGAAAUGAGAACCAGGUGUGUGGAAAAACGAGACAAAACAAAUGGAAAAUGAAAAAUGGAUCGUGAUGGCUAGAAGACCGGCAACUUCGACCGCCAAACACCGCCCGAACAAAGAGAGGCAUCGACUUCGGUAGACGACCCCCCCCCCCCCUCGGGGACGACCCGGAGGGCGAGGCGCAGGGCAAUCCGGAUGGAGACGGUGGAACUCUCGCAGCAGAGAAGGAUCCAACACCUCCUCCACUGGAACCCAGCAUCUCUCCUCCGGACCAUACCCCUCCUAGUCCACGAGAUAAUGAAGGCCCCUCCCCCGACGUCUCGAAUCCAGUAUGGAACGAACAGAGUACGCCGGGGCCCCGUCGAUGUCCAGAGGGGGCGGAGGAACCUCCCGCACCUCAGAUUGCUGGAGCGGGCCAGCCACCACCGGCCUGAGGAGAGACACAUGGAACGAGGGGUUAAUGCGGUAAUCGGGGGAAGCUGUAACCUGUAACAAACCUCGUUCAGUCUCCUCAGGACUUUAAAUGGCCCCACAAACCGCGGACCCAGGUCCGGCAGGGCAGCGGAGGGGCAGGUUUCAGGUCGAGAGCCAGACUGGUCCCCCGGUGCGAACACCGGGGUCUCACUACGGUGACAGUCUGCGGCAACUUUCUGGCGCAGCACGGCGCGCUGAAGAUGAACAUGGGCGGUGUCCCAUGUCUCCUCCGCGCGCCGGAACCAAUCAUCCACCACAGGAGCCUCGGUCUGACUGAUGCCAAGGAGCCAGAACCGGCUGGUACCCCAAUACACACUGGAAGGGGGUGAGGUUAGUGGAGGAGUGGCGGAGCGAGUUCUGGGCCAUCUCUGCCCAGGGCACGAACAUUGCUCACUCCCCUGGCCGGUCCUGGCAAUAGGACCUCAGAAACCUACCCACAUCCUGGUUAACUCUCUCCACCUGCCCGUUACUCUCGGGAUGAAACCCUGAGGUAAGGCUGAUCGAGACCCCCAGACGUUCCAUGAAUGCCUUACAGAUCCUCGAAAUCAACUGGGGACCCGAUCAGACACUAUAUCCUCAGGUACCCUGUAGUGCCGGAAAACGUGUGUAAACAAGGCCUCCGCAGUCUGUAGGAGUCGAGAAGAAGUCACAGGGGCGGAGCUUCGGUGGCGCACCCGAGCGCUGAGAGAGCACAGCUCCUAUCCGAGCCUCGGACACGUCCACCUCCAACAUGAAUGCCAAAGAGGGAUCCGGAUGAGCCAGCACGGGAGCCGAGGUAAACAGAGCCCUCAGGUGACUAAAAGCCCUGUCCGCCUCAGCUGUCCACUGGAAGCGCACUGGGCCCGCCUUCAGCAGUGAGUUAAUGGGAGCCGCUACCUGACCAAAACCUCAGAUAAACCUCCAGUAGUAGUUGGCAAACCCUAAGAACUUCUGCGCCUCCUUUACCGUGGUGGAAGUCGGCCAAUUACGCACGGCUGAAAUGCGGUCACUCUCCAUCUCCACACCUGAUGUGGAAAUGCGGUAUCCUAGGAAGGAGACGGACUGUUGAAAGAACAGGCAUUUCUCAGCCUUGGCGUACAGGUCAUGCUCCAACAAUCGACCAAGCACCUUGCGCACCAGGGACACAUGCUCGGCACGUGUAGCGGAGUAUAUCAGAAUGUCAUCAAUAUACACCACUACACCCUGCCCGUGCAGGUCCCUGAAAAUCUCGUCUACAAUGGAAGACUGAUGGAGCAUUCAUCAACCCGUACGGCAUGACAAGGUACUCAUAGUGCCCAGAGGUAGUACUGAAAGCCAGGUUAUAAGCGCUCCUGAGAUCUAGUUUGGUGAAAAAGGUCGCCCCCGUGCAUUGACUAUCGCUGUGGCUAUAAGCGGUAGCGGGUAACUAUACCUCACAGUGAUCUGAUUCAGACCCCGAUAGUAAUACACGGGCGCAGACCUCCCUCCUUCACAAAAAAGAAGCUCGAAGAGCCGGUGAAGUGGAGGACCGAAUGUAUCCCUGACGCAGGGAUUCAGAGACAUAUGUUUCCAUAGCCUCCGUCUCUGCCUGUGAGAGGGGAUACACGUGACUCCUGGGAAGUGCAGCGUCUACCAGGAGAUCUAUCGCACAAUCGCCCCAUCGAUGAGGUGGUAAUUGAGUCGGCAUAUUCAGAGAGAAUGCGCACGGUGGAAACCUGGUCUGGACUCUCCACCGUAGUAGCACCAACGGAAACCCCUAAACACCUACCUGAGCACUCUCGCGACCACCCCGUGAGAGCCCUCUGUGACCAAGAAACAGUGGGGUUAUGACAAGCUAACCAGGGUAGGCCCGCACCACGGGAAAUGCAGGAGACUCAAUAAGGAAGAGACUAAUUCUCUCCGUAUGACCCCCUUGCGACACCAUUCCCAAAGGAGCGGUGAGCUCCCUAAUUAACCCUGACCCUAAUGGUCGACUAUCUAAGGCGUGAACGGGGAAGGGCACAUCCACGGGAACGAUGGGGAUCCCUAAACCUUGGGGAAAUGAUCUGUCAAUAAAAUUCCCAGCCGCGCCUGAAUCGAUGAGCACCUUAUGCUGGGAAUGUGGGGAAAACUCAGGAAAAGUAACAAACAAAAACAUGUGCAACAGAGGGCUCUGGGUGGGAAUUGUGUCUUCUCACCUGGGGUGACGCCAGAGUGCGCUGCCUGCUGCCUCGAACCCUAGAGGAACCAACACGGCACUGACCAGCAGUGUGACCUCUGCGGCCACAGAUGGUACACGUGAAAGCCCCUCCUCCGGUCUCCCUGUGCACAGCACCUCCCAGCUCCAUAGGCACCGGAGCGGUGGUGCUGGGAACGGGAAUCGACAGAGCCCUCUCUGGACAUCCGCGGGUGACCAGCAGGUUAUCCAACCGAAUGGACAUGUCCACCAGCUGGUCGAAGGUAAGAGUGGUAUCCCUGCAGGCCAACUCCCGACGGACAUCCUCGCGCAGGCUGCAAUGGUAGUGGUCGAUGAGGGCCCUAUUGUUCCAUCCCGCUCCGGCGGCCAAGGUCCGAAACUCCAGUGCGAACUCAUGGGUGCUCUUCGUCUCCUGCCUCAGAUGUUCACCCGCCGCUCUACCCUUGGGCGGGUGGUUGAAUACUGCCCGGAAACGGCGGGUGAACUCCGUGAAGUCCUCCAACGCCGCAUCUCCUUCUCUCCACACGGCGUUGGCCCACUCCAGAACUCUCCCUGAAAGGCACGAGACGAGGGUGGACACCCUCUCCCUUCCCGAGGGAGCUGGAUAAACGGUGCCAAGGUAGAGGUCCAGCUGUAGCAGGAAGCCCUGGCACUGUGCCGUCGUCGAAUCAUACUCCCCGGGAAGGGCGAGAUGCAUCCCACUGGAACCGGGUACAGGAGGAACGGGUAGUGAGGACCCCUGUUGUGCUGGAGGAGGUACCGCCCUGUCUCUCCCAGCGAUCCAUCGUCUGGACGACACGGUCCAUGGCGGUUCCGAGAUGGUGAAUCAACGUCGUGUGCUCCUGGACGCUCUCCUCGACUCCGCUACCAUAGGUACCUGCUCCUGCUGACUCCAUCAAAAUAAGGGUUUAACAUAACCCAGCUUAACCAGCCUACCGUGCGCAUACAUGAACAGAUAAACAAUACCACACAAAGACAUGGGGAAAACAGAGGGUUAAAUACACAACACAUAAUGAGGGAAAUGAGAACCCGGUGUGUGGAAAAAUGAGACAAAACAAAUGGAAAAUGAGAAAUGGAUCGUGAUGGCUAGAAGACCGGCGACUUCGACCGCCAAACAUCGCCCGAACAAGGAGAGGCAUCAACUUCGGAAGAAGUCGUGACACUCUCCAAGCUAUUUACCUCUCCAUGGUUGCAGGAUCUUGUUUAUUUUUACAAGUUUUCUAUUGAAAUUCAUUGUGGAGAGCUUAUUUACAGCUUUUGUGAUAUGAAUACCAAGUAUGUCUACUUCACCAUCAGCCCAUUUUAUAGGUAAACUGCAGGGUAAUAUAAAAGUUGUAUUUUUUAAAGAUCGAAUACGUAAUAUUGUACUUAUCAUUAUUAGGUUUUAGUCCAGAGAGUACAGAAAAGUUAUCUAGAUCUUCAAUGAGACAUUGCAGGGAUCUAGCUUGUGGACUUAAUAUAAAACUUGAGUCAUCGGCAUACAUGGACACCUUUGUUUUUAAGCCUUGGAUUUCUAAUUCUCUAAUGUUGUUAUUGGAUCUGAUUUUAAUAGCUAGUAUUUCGAUGGCUAUAACAAAAAUAUAUGGUAACAGCGGAAACCCUUGUUUAACUCCUCUUGACAAUUCAAAACUCUCUGAGAAGUAGUCGUUAUUUACUAUUUUACACCUGGGGUUGCUAUGCAUAAUUUUUACCCAUUUUAUAAGAGAAUUACCUCAAUUGAAAAAAUCCAGGCAUUUAUAAAUAAAAUCCAGUCUUACUUUAUCAAAUGCCUUUUCAAAAUCCGCUAUAAAUACCAGGCCUGGCUUCUUAGAUGUUUCAUGAUGUUCUAUUAUUUCUAGUAGUUGUCGUAUAUUAUCUCCAAUGUAUCGUCCAUAUAAAAAAACCUAUCUGAUCAGGAUGAACAAUACAUGGUAAAACCCGUUUAAUUCUGAGUGCUCUGUAUUUCGCUAGUAUUUUUGCAUCGCAACAUUGAAGUGUAAGGGGCCUCUAGUUUUUUUAGAUAGACUGGAUCUUUAUAUUUGCCAUCUGGGUCUUGUUUUAAAAAUAGUGAAAUCAGACCUUCCUGCUGAGUACGUGACAGGCUACCAUUUCCAUAGGAGUAGUUAAAACAAUAACAAUGGAGCUUUUAGUAUAUCAAAAAAGCUUGAUAUAGUACCUCUACCGCUAUGCCAUCAAGCCCUGGGGUUUUUCCAGACUGAAAGGAUUUAAUAGCCUCAAAGUUCUUCCUCUGUCAUUUGGCCUUCGCACUGAUCUUUCUGUACAUUUGUUAAUUUUCCAUUUUUUAUAUAAUUUGGAAAGAAUUCCAUACUGUAAUCUUCGUUCAGUGGGAGAGGAUGAGACGGAAAAGAGAAAAUCUGCCUAAAAUAAUUAGCUUCCUCUUUUAAAAUAUAAUUCUAAGAAUAAUAGAUGACUCCGUCUCCACUAAUGCGUUUCUGCAAAUUAUUGUUGUUCCUGUAUUGGAGAUUCAGGAAGAAUUUUGUGCAUUUUUCUCCAUAUUCCAUCCAAUUUGCUUUAU
Molecule: long non-coding RNA, 5457 nt
Filed under: Salmo salar (Atlantic salmon)
Lineage: Eukaryota; Metazoa; Chordata; Actinopteri; Salmoniformes; Salmonidae
Description: lncRNA (ENSSSAG00000107294.1)
Source: RNAcentral